This is a non-coding RNA of Erythranthe guttata (spotted monkey flower), 1002 nucleotides long. The record is from RefSeq and is a predicted model, not a curated record. NCBI's taxonomy places the organism in Eukaryota, Viridiplantae, Streptophyta, Magnoliopsida, Lamiales, Phrymaceae.
UAUGUUGACCGGCCAGCUAAUGGAAGCAUCAAGGGAAGUCUCACUGGUAUAAGCAUUGGAACUGUGACUCAAACUCAGAAAAUUUGGAGGAGUUUCCAAGCUCUCGGAGACAUCGCUUUCGCCUACUCGUUUUCCAUCAUCCUUAUCGGAAAUUCAGGACACAGUGAAAUCGCCACCAUCAGAGGCGAAAACAAUGAAGAAAGCCACUUUAAUAAGCACAAUCGUAACCACAGCUUUCUACAUGCUCUGCGGUUGCAUGGGGUACGCAGCGUUUGGCGACCACGCGCCGGGAAACCUCCUAACCGGGUUCGGAUUCUACAACCCAUACUGGCUCCUCGACAUAGCCAACGCCGCCAUCGUGAUCCACCUAGUCGGCGCCUACCAGGUCUACUGCCAGCCGCUCUUCGCCUUCGUGGAGAAACGCGCCGCCGAGAAGUGGCCGGACAGCGGGUUCAUCGCCGGCGAGAUCCGAAUCCCGAUCCCCUUCUGCCAGCAGCCCUUCAGGCUGAACACGUUCCGCCUGGUGUGGAGGACGGCGUUCGUGGCGGCGACCACCGUGAUAUCGAUGCUCCUCCCGUUCUUCAACGACGUGGUGGGGAUCCUCGGGGCGCUAGGGUUUUGGCCGCUGACGGUGUACUUCCCGGUGGAGAUGUACAUCGCGCAGAAGAAGAUUCCGAGGUGGAGCACGAGGUGGGCUUGUCUGCAGAUGCUGAGUUUCGCGUGUCUCGUGAUCUCGAUCGCGGCGGCGGCCGGUUCCAUCGCCGGAGUGGUUCUUGAUCUCAAGGUUUACAGGCCGUUCAAGACAAGCUACUGAUGAUCAAUAAAUUAAAUUAAAUAAUUAAUAUUUUGUGUUUGUUGUACAUUAGAAUUUGGUGCUGUGGUUGGUGUUGUUUUUGAUGAAAUAAAUUGAUAAUCUUUUGUGUUUUGCUUUUCAUGUUACUAUUGUUGUACUUGUUAUUACAAUGUAUAAUCAAGGCUAAGGACUUUUUAUUUUUCAGUUUU